CCUACGGGCGGCAGCAGUGAGGAAUAUUGGUCAAUGGGCGCGAGCCUGAACCAGCCAAGCAGCGUGAAGGAUGACUGCCCUACGGGUUGUAAACUUCUUUUAUAAAGGAAUAAAGUGAGGCACGUGUGCCUUUUUGCAUGGACUUUAUGAAUAAGGAUCGGCUAACUCCGUGCCAGCAGCCGCGGUAAUACGGAGGAUACGAGCGUUAUCCGGAUUUAUUGGGGUUAAAGGGAGCGGAGAUGGGUUGUUAAGUCAGUUGUGAAAGUUUGCGGCUCAACCGGAAAAUUGCAAUUGAUACUGGCAGUCUUGAGUACAGUUGAGGUAGGCGGAAUUCGUGGUGUAGCGGUGAAAUGCUUAGAUAUCACGAAGAACUCCGAUUGCGAAGGCAGCUUACUAAACUGCCACUGACAUUGAUGCUCGAAAGUGUGGGUAUCAAACAGGAUUAGAUACCCCAGUAGUC
This 460-nucleotide ribosomal RNA is filed under the name uncultured bacterium. Its description in RNAcentral is "partial 16S ribosomal RNA". It matches the Rfam family "Bacterial small subunit ribosomal RNA", at positions 338 to 795 of the family's 1533-position model. The record is from RNAcentral.